This 219-nucleotide ribosomal RNA is filed under the name uncultured Leptotrichia sp. RNAcentral's name for it is "partial 16S ribosomal RNA". It matches the Rfam family "Bacterial small subunit ribosomal RNA", at positions 140 to 354 of the family's 1533-position model. The record is from RNAcentral. Lineage: Bacteria; Fusobacteriati; Fusobacteriota; Fusobacteriia; Fusobacteriales; Leptotrichiaceae.
AGUAAACAAGAAGGGAAACGUUACUGAUAAUAACUGGAUAAGUUAGUAUAUCGCAUGAUAUGCAAAAUGAAAGCUACGGCACUAAAGGAGAGCUUUGCGUCCUAUUAGCUAGUUGGUAAGGUAAGAGCUUACCAAGGCGAUGAUAGGUAGCCGGCCUGAGAGGGUGGACGGCCACAAGGGACUGAGAUACGGCCCUUACUCCUACGGGAGGCAGCAGAC